This 384-nucleotide unclassified non-coding RNA is filed under the name uncultured Agaricales. Its description in RNAcentral is "sequence contains 5.8S rRNA gene, ITS2, 28S rRNA gene". The stretch from base 1 to 52 matches the Rfam family "5.8S ribosomal RNA", at positions 103 to 154 of the family's 154-position model. The record is from RNAcentral. Lineage: Eukaryota; Fungi; Basidiomycota; Agaricomycetes; Agaricales.
AACGCACCUUGCGCCCUUUGGUAUUCCGAAGGGCAUGCCUGUUUGAGUGUCAUUAAAUUCUCAACUUCAAAAGCUUUGUCUUUUUGAAGCUUGGAUGUGAAGGCUUGCUGGCGUUUUAAAUGUUCAGCUCCUUUGAAAUGCAUUAGUGGACCCAUUUGUGUUCAGCCUUAGUGUGAUAAUUAUCUACGCUAUUAUGGUUUUUGAAUGCUAGCUCAUUAGAACUUCAAAGUGUUUCAUACAUUUUUGGUGUGGGGAGUUGCACUAAACAUCUGCUCUCUCUGUCUAUUGAGUUUGGUUUGUCUGCUUCUAACCGUCUCUCACUGCAUGUGGACAACUUUUGAACCAUUUGACCUCAAAUCAGGUAGGACUACCCGCUGAACUUAA